CUACGGGACGCACCAGUGGGGAAUAUUGGACAAUGGGGGAAACCCUGAUCCAGCAAUGCCGCGUGUGUGAAGAAGGCCUGCGGGUUGUAAAGCACUUUCGGUUGGGAGGACUGCUUCUAGCACUAAUAUUGUUGGAAGUUGACGUUACCUUCAGAAGAAGCACCGGCUAACUCCGUGCCAGCAGCCGGGGUAAUACGGAGGGGGCAAGCGUUAAUCGGAAUUACUGGGCGUAAAGCGCGCGUAGGCGGCUAGAUCAGUCGGGUGUGAAAGCCCCGGGCUUAACCUGGGAACUGCAUCCGAUACUGGCUAGCUUGAGUACAGGAGAGGAGAGUGGAAUUCCACAUGUAGCGGUGAAAUGCGUAGAUAUGUGGAGGAACACCAAUGGCGAAGGCAGCUCUCUGGCCUGAUACUGACGCUGAGGUGCGAAAGCGUGGGGAGCAAACAGGAUUAGAUACCCUCGUAGUC
This 465-nucleotide ribosomal RNA is filed under the name uncultured bacterium. RNAcentral's name for it is "partial 16S ribosomal RNA". It matches the Rfam family "Bacterial small subunit ribosomal RNA", at positions 339 to 795 of the family's 1533-position model. The record is from RNAcentral.